Molecule: ribosomal RNA, 874 nt
Filed under: Lysinibacillus cresolivorans
Lineage: Bacteria; Bacillati; Bacillota; Bacilli; Caryophanales; Bacillaceae
Description: bacterial SSU rRNA
Rfam family: Bacterial small subunit ribosomal RNA
Source: RNAcentral
CAACGGAUCACACGAGGGAGGUCAUUGAAAAUGAGGGGCUUGAGUGGGGAAGAAGAAAGGUGGAUUCCAAGGGUGGCGGUGAAAUGCGUAGAGAUUUGGAGGAACACCAGUGGCGAGGGCGACUUUCUGGUCUGUAACUGACGGUGAGGCGCGAAAGCGUGGGGAGCAAACAAGAUUAGAUACCCUGGUAGUCCACGCCGUAAACGAUGAGUGCUAAGUGUUAGGGGGUUUCCGCCCCUUAGUGCUGCAGCUAACGCAUUAAGCACUCCGCCUGGGGAGUACGGUCGCAAGACUGAAACUCAAAGGAAUUGACGGGGGCCCGCACAAGCGGUGGAGCAUGUGGUUUAAUUCGAAGCAACGCGAAGAACCUUACCAGGUCUUGACAUCCCGUUGACCACUGUAGAGAUAUAGUUUCCCCUUCGGGGGCAACGGUGACAGGUGGUGCAUGGUUGUCGUCAGCUCGUGUCGUGAGAUGUUGGGUUAAGUCCCGCAACGAGCGCAACCCUUGAUCUUAGUUGCCAUCAUUUAGUUGGGCACUCUAAGGUGACUGCCGGUGACAAACCGGAGGAAGGUGGGGAUGACGUCAAAUCAUCAUGCCCCUUAUGACUUGGGCUACACACGUGCUACAAUGGACGAUACAAACGGUUGCCAACUCGCGAGAGGGAGCUAAUCCGAUAAAGUCGUUCUCAGUUCGGAUUGUAGGCUGCAACUCGCCUACAUGAAGCCGGAAUCGCUAGUAAUCGAGGAUCAGCAUGUUGCGGUGAAUAGAUUCCCGGGCCUUGUACACACCGCUCGUCUUACCACAAGAGUUUGUAACAGCCCGAAGUAGGUGACGGUAACCUAUGGAGCCAGCCGCCGAAGGUGGAUGAUGGGU